RNAcentral lists this microRNA precursor (84 nucleotides) under Bombyx mori (domestic silkworm). RNAcentral's name for it is "mir-2807 microRNA precursor family". It matches the Rfam family "mir-2807 microRNA precursor family". Lineage: Eukaryota; Metazoa; Arthropoda; Insecta; Lepidoptera; Bombycidae. The record is from Rfam by way of RNAcentral.
UUAACUCAAUUUUGUAUGGAGUUGGAACGUUUGGCUACGUUUGCCGCUAGAGGCGCUGUUCCAACUCCAUACAAAUUUGAGUUA